GGAGACCAAAUAUAACACCAAUGCUAAGGAUCAAGUUGGUAAUUUCCUUACAUCCCACCCCCCCCCCCCCCCCACCCCCCCACAAAUACCCCAGGUAUAAUAAAUGUCCCCAAAAUAAAGAGCCUUAAUAGAAGAAAAGCACCUAUACCUGACAAAAUUAAGUGUGUACCCAAAAUUGUAGUCAUUUAUUUCUUUCUAUUUA
RNAcentral lists this antisense RNA (202 nucleotides) under Ananas comosus (pineapple). Its description in RNAcentral is "Antisense RNA which regulates isiA expression". It matches the Rfam family "Antisense RNA which regulates isiA expression". The record is from Rfam by way of RNAcentral. Lineage: Eukaryota; Viridiplantae; Streptophyta; Magnoliopsida; Poales; Bromeliaceae.